This is a long non-coding RNA of Oncorhynchus nerka (sockeye salmon), 209 nucleotides long. RefSeq lists it as uncharacterized. The transcript is spliced from 2 exons. NCBI's taxonomy places the organism in Eukaryota, Metazoa, Chordata, Actinopteri, Salmoniformes, Salmonidae. The record is from RefSeq and is a predicted model, not a curated record.
GGUCCCACCACCACUUGCAUCUAGUAAACAGAAGACAGCCAAUAAACACACAGUUUUACAUAAAACAAUCUUCCACCAGAGAACAUGGACCGACAAAGGAUCUGGGAUUGGUUCUUGCCUCACCAGGCUAGGUUUGGAUGCUUCUACAGGGCAGCCAUGCUGAAAGUGAACAGUUUAUUGUCAUUUGUAUUAAACCUUUAUUUAACCAA